This is a long non-coding RNA of Rhipicephalus microplus (southern cattle tick), 276 nucleotides long. RefSeq lists it as uncharacterized. The record is from RefSeq and is a predicted model, not a curated record. NCBI's taxonomy places the organism in Eukaryota, Metazoa, Arthropoda, Arachnida, Ixodida, Ixodidae.
GGCCUUUAUCGGUAAAGUGAGCCGGGUAAGGACAUCAAGAACAGCUGCUUUUGCAGGGAUGUCCACCUUCUUUGAGUGGAAAAUUCGCAAGGCACUGGCUAGUGGGACCAUUUCUCUCGGAGUGCGGAGCGCGAGUGUGUGCACGAGCUGUAGACGCUGGACGGCUCGAGCAGUUCUGUUCCUACCGGCUGCCUGCCUACUACCUGGCGUCGCUAGGGAGUUUAUUAGCAAUAGAAACUGCAAUAGAAACUGCAAAACUGCAGAUUAAUAUUGCGA